Molecule: transfer RNA, 66 nt
Filed under: Metrocoris esakii
Lineage: Eukaryota; Metazoa; Arthropoda; Insecta; Hemiptera; Gerridae
Description: tRNA-Asp
Source: RNAcentral
GAAAAAUUAGUUUAUAGAAAACUUAAGCUUGUCAAGCUUAGAAAAUUAAAUUAUUAAUACUUUUCU